CCAGGGCUGAUUUCACCUCCUUCCCGCCCAGCCUCCCUUCCCAAAGCUGUGGGAACUGCUGUAACGCAGCAGCUACCACGGCGCUUCCCGAUGUCCAGCCUCCCCGCUGCCCAACCCCUCCUCGUGGCACCCUGUCUGGAACCAGCUGGCACACGAUGCGAGCAAAACGCCGUAUUUUCUGUGCCUCCGACGGCAUCCAGCCUGCUCUCGGCUGCCCUAAAACGCCAGAUAAACAAACAGCGCACGGGCGCAGUGCAGACAUCUCCAGCAGGAAACAAAGCGCAGAACUUGCUCUAUUUUAAUCCCAUCAAGGGUCUUCUUGGAAGCGAGGCAGAGCCCGGCUGUGCAGAGUUAAGAAUGAAAGCCUAUUUUUAGCCUGUCCCCGGUGAGGGAAGACCUGGAGCCCAGGCUGGCAUUCCCUCCUGCCCGUGACCUCCAAACACCCGACACUGACGGGAGCAGCUCUGUAAAUGGUGUACUCUCCACAGCUGUUGAUUAAAUUCAACCUAGUUCAAUAAUGGCAAGAAGUCACCGGCGUGUUUGAUUGCUCAAGUGUCCUAUAUGUCGAUGGGCUAAGCGAAGGCAUGUCUUCGUUGCGCAACGGAACCGUCUGGGUCUGACUGAGCAGCCUCGUCGCAAAACUGAACUCGGCGAGGCUGAGUGAGCGCCGCUAAGACUUGAGGAGGCAUAUCUGGAUGUAUUUUAGCACUGCAGUUUUUCGGAGUGAAAGAACUGUUGUUAAUAUUCAUGGAAGGGAAGAUGAAAAGGCACUGGAGAAGGGAGCUCAUGGCAGGGUACCAAGGACAUCUCAGCAGGUUUUAUCCUGUGCUCUCGCUAGGGAGAGGAAGGUUCACAGCCUAAGUAUGGCUCUUCUCAUACUAUAGAUUUUUCUCCGGGAUUGUCUUGAUGCCAGCUACCCCUAAACUCAAAUCUAACGCUCUGGUGGAUGAAGAAGUAUUAAUUUAAGGCAGCCUAUGAGGAAGUGCCUGAGCUCCCUCUGAAGUGAAGGCUCUUCACUCGGUGAGCUUAGUCUAGUUCUAGUAAGCUUCAUUACUGGCAACCUUAGCUGUAAAGCCACAGUUAGAAAAGGACAAAUCUCUAGACUUGGUCUCUCUGAGUAAGAACUAUUUACUACAGCCAUGCUAUACCCUUGCAAUGAUUUCAGAGGGCCCUGCUUCUGGAUUUGUCAGCAGCAAAGUGUCAAGAUUAAUUUAAAAGCAGCCUUAAAAGUACCUUGAGUUUGCAUCUUGUUUGAUUGCUUUACUAAUAAGAAAAACACAAAAUGAUUCAUAUUAGAAAAAUAGGUUUCAGUGGUCUUUUAGGGCAGGCCCGGCGCCAAUUCUGAACCGAGGCACUCUGAAGUGAUAAAAGCACAAAUGCCACGAGGAAGGGUAUUUCUUACCGGAGACAUAAUCUGAAGAAGAGGGAAUAGGCCAAGAAGUCUCAAGCCAUUAGCUGGGUUUAUGCAGCUACAUGGCACUGCAAUAUUCCUCAGCUGCUUUCAUAUAUUUUGAAAGCUUUCCUCACCCCUGCACAUGAUGGCUAAUAGCGAGAUUUAGCAUUUGACUUGAUCUGUCCCAGUGCAUGUGUUAUGUAUCACCUGAGCAUGGCUUUACUCCUUAUCCAGAGCCAACUUGUAGACAAUUAGCAGGACAGAUCCCGAAGAUGCUGCUCACUGAAACUUUCCCUGGAACCAUUUUCCAGUGGAAAUUUUUUUCCUCUCUCAGAAACUGGACAAAGAGAAACUGUUCAGGUCUGUCAGCGGUACCUAAGUGCACGGUAAAAUAUCUCUUGAAGAAAUCAAGAUCAAAGCUCAUACAAUUAGGGACAAACUAAAAUCAAGGGCACCUUUACUGAAGCUCAUUAAAAAUAUCCUUUGUACCGCUCUCCUACGUGGCACCCAAAGUCUCACGAAUACAGUGGUCUAAUGAGAAUGCAAUGAGUUUUUUUUUUUUUUUUCCUCCAGUAUUUUUCUUUUCCAUACUUAGCAAAUGUCGUAGUUUAAUUAAGGGAUGUCAAAGGCACAGAGAGCUGCCCCGAGAUAAUCGUCACCUGCUGCUAGAUAAAUGCUGAGGUGAAGACAAGCAAGAAGAGCGAUCACGCAAACGCCGAAUUACGGAGAAAGGGCAAAGUUCAAAAACGGAACUGACAAAACCCAUCAUUUAUCGAGGUGGGCUGACGGAGCUGCUUGUGCCGGCGCUUGCGGACGGGCCCCUCCACCCCGGGUCCCCUCGCAGCCGUUCGCGAGCUCGCCGGCCUCCCUCGUGCCUCUUCUCGCUCCCACGCUGUCCCUUGCGGGAAGAUUCGCGCCGCAGCAUCUCACGGCGUCCGGCGGGCGGAGCGUCCUCAGCGUCGGGUGCCCGGGGCUGCCGCUGCCCUCUCGUCAGAGCAGCGGGCUGAGCCCUCCGCAGGGAUCCCGGCUCCCGCCGCAGCUGGGAGACAUUUGCAAAGCGCUCGCUGAAGGCCUGACCUCAAGCCAUUUAGAUCGCUACAAAGGCUCUUACUGGCUUCCUUCAGGACCCUGCUGACAGCCUUUCCUUUAGUCUUUAAAAGCAUGCAUGUCUUUAUUUAUUAAUAUUUACCAAAGCCCUUCCAGGCCUUGACUCUUUGAUUUUCCAACCUUCUACGAUUCUCACCAGAUGAAGCGUUCUUUUUCGGAAAAACAACCCGCCCGGCUGCCUGCUCCCCUCUCCUGGUGUUCGUGCUUGGCUUUCACGGGAAGGUUGUUUCACUCUCCUUUCCUUCUUCCCACCUAGGUCAAUAUUGAUCUGAUCAUUUCAGCAGCAGUUUUGUGCUAAGGGCUGUCUCUGUGCUGUGCCCUCUGAUGAAUCCAUGACCUGCAAACCAUCCUUCUUUCUUGCUUGUCGCCCUUGUCCGGGUUUCUAUUCCACCAGUUCACAACUUCACAGAAUGUUUUACCAGAGGGGUGGUCUAUGCUUUAUUUCUCCAAUUACUCCCGUUUCUCAAUUUCUGUGCAGAAAUGACAGCACAACGCCUUACAGGUUACCUGUCUCUUCAAAAUGAUCUCCGAAUUAAUAUACAGGUACUGUAUUUCCAGCAAAUAUUUCAUUUUAAUGGGAAUCAUGCCCUAAAAAAAUAGCUUGCUAGAGUCCCUGUAGAAGUUCAUCAACACGUAAUGCUCUGAAGAUGGCCGGACAAGGCUCAGGUCAAGUCUCGAUCCCCUAUUCCUGAUGAGCGGUGCACCAGCCACGCAGAAAUCAAAGAAAACAUCUCCAUGGAAUCAUGACACCUCCUACAACUUCCCCACAGCGCUGCGGACAAUGCAAGCAUGGGGCUAGCGCAUUUUCAGACUCCGUAGGUCAAGCAAGAUGGAUAAUCUUCCUUUGACCGUGACUGAUUUCUCACUGCAUUGUUAAUGAACAGCGGUAUUUUGACCAGCUUUGAUGUUUACUUCAUCUGACCCACUGGUGAGGUUCUUCAAGUGGGACCACCGCACAGAGGUCCCUGGGGUGAAGGGUUCAUAAAGUAAGUAAUUGUAAGUAACAAAGAGAGCCAAAUUAAUUCCUUCACACUGGAAAAUGACAUAUGUCUUCUGAGCCAGGAAACAAAAGAAGGAUUUCCAUGGCAUUCCUCUACAAAACCAUCAAUCAUUUCAUUACCAUGAAACAAGCUUCACAGAAUAUUCUGUAGUUUUACCAAUAAAUGCUGAUAAAAUUAAGCCCC
Tyto alba (common barn owl) is the source of this 3684-nucleotide long non-coding RNA. RefSeq lists it as uncharacterized. Lineage: Eukaryota; Metazoa; Chordata; Aves; Strigiformes; Tytonidae. The record is from RefSeq and is a predicted model, not a curated record. The transcript is spliced from 2 exons.